ACUGGGAGCGGUGGCGCGUGCCUGUAGUCCCAGCUAUUCAGGAGGCUGAGGCUGGAGGAUCGCUUGAGCACAGGAGUUCUGGGCUGUAGUGCACUAUGCUGAUCGGGUGUCCGCACUAAGUUCAGCAUCAAUAUGGUGACCUCCCGGGAGCGGGGGACCAUCGGGUUGCCUAAGGAGGGGUGAACCAGCCCAGGUCAAAACUCUCACACUGAUCAGUAGUGGGAUCGCACCUACGAAUAGCCACUGCACUCCAGCCUGGGCAACAUAGGGAGACCCUGUCUCUA
Unclassified non-coding RNA from Callithrix jacchus (white-tufted-ear marmoset), 284 nucleotides. It matches the Rfam family "Metazoan signal recognition particle RNA". From Rfam's summary of the family: The signal recognition particle (SRP) is a universally conserved ribonucleoprotein. It is involved in the co-translational targeting of proteins to membranes. Lineage: Eukaryota; Metazoa; Chordata; Mammalia; Primates; Cebidae. The record is from Ensembl.